Molecule: ribosomal RNA, 201 nt
Filed under: uncultured bacterium
Lineage: Bacteria
Description: partial 16S ribosomal RNA
Rfam family: Bacterial small subunit ribosomal RNA
Source: RNAcentral
UUCGGACUGCAGGCUGCAACUCGCCUGCACGAAGCCGGAGUUGCUAGUAAUCGCGGAUCAGAAUGCCGCGGUGAAUGCCGUUCCCGGGUCUUGUACACACCGCCCGUCACACCAUGGAAGUUGGGGGUGCCCCAAAGCCGGCAGGGAAAUAUGCUGUCUAAGGCAAAACCAAUGACUGGGGUGAAGUCGUAACAAGGUAUC